ACAAAAUAAUACAAAAAAUUUAUUAGAAAGUUAAUUUAUUAUUUUAUUUAUAAAAAUUAGGAUGAAUUUGUAAUGUUAAUAUCAAAAAAAUAAAUAUAAAUAUAAAAAAUAAAUUUAUUUAAAAUUAAAAUUUUAUUUAUUAUUAAAGAGUAAAUAUAAUUAUUAGUAAUAUAUAUAGUAUUUGUAACAAAAUAUCAAUAAUUAGAAAGAUUAUGAAAACUAAAUUAGAAGAACUAAAAACUAUAUUUUUAUUAAUUAGAAUAUUUGAAUAAUCUCUUUAAUCAUAUAAAAUGCAUAUACUUGUAAUAUUUAAAGGUGAUAUUAAUAUUAUUAGUGUAUAUUAAUAUUCCCUUGAAAUUAAAAAAACAUAGAUAUUUCAGUAAUCUAAAAUAGUCUACAAAAAUAAUAGUUUUAUCAAAAUUAAUAAGAAUACAUAUAGAUUUAAACCUAAAAGUAUGAACAUGUCUGUUUUUUACAAGAUUAAAAUUUAUAUUAUAUGAUAAAAUUAAAUU
RNAcentral lists this unclassified non-coding RNA (512 nucleotides) under Clostridioides difficile E25. RNAcentral describes it as "RNAIII". Lineage: Bacteria; Bacillati; Bacillota; Clostridia; Peptostreptococcales; Peptostreptococcaceae. The record is from RNAcentral.